Molecule: unclassified non-coding RNA, 615 nt
Filed under: Hevea brasiliensis (rubber tree)
Lineage: Eukaryota; Viridiplantae; Streptophyta; Magnoliopsida; Malpighiales; Euphorbiaceae
Source: RNAcentral
UCAUUAGGCACCAUUAAAUCCUGAUAACUCACUCCAGCAUUAGAUCUACACAUCCAUGGCUCCAUUUGCAUCACCAUAUCCAGAACUCCACCGUCGCUCCAGCUCUCAAUUAACGGCGCGGAAGGCUCAUCCAAUUUCUUCUCCUCAAGAUCGAAUCCCCAGAUUAAGGCGAGCUCCAAAGCCGAGGGACAUCCAGUGAACCCUUCAACUGGAGUACGAUCGUGGGAGACGGAAACAAAGCAACUACCGUGGGCGUCGAAAUCGCACUCCUGGCAGAGCACCAAAUUGUCAGUGGCGCAACGGACAGAAACGGGCUCAGAAGUGCAGUUAUCGCAGAUCUGGGAACGGAGAUGCUUCCGCGAGAGCAGGUUAGCAGAGUGCACGUGCUGGUCACAGAAAAGACAGAGCUUGGCGGAGUCGGCUCUGCAGUAGAGAACCGCAACCUGGUCGCUGCAGAAAUCACAGGGAACGCUCUGUUUAGUCUCCGAUUUGGGGCUCUCCAUGUUCGCUUUAGCUUGAAAAACCCUAGAAAGGAAGAGGAAGGUUAUAGCAUACGAGAAGGCGGAGAGUGUUUUGUUUGCUGAGGGACGUGGGAGUGAAGCCGGAGAGACAUUU